GGUAGAAAAUGAAGUGGAUAGGAUGGUGGAACAACAAUUGUCUAAAAUGAAGUUGAAACAAAACAAGAGGAUGAAGGAAGAUCGACAGCCUACGAAAGAGGAAAAGCUUCUUCAAUUGAGGUUGGAGAGGGUAGAAAAUGAGGUGGAUAGGAUGGUGGAGCAACAAUGGUCUAAAUUAAUGCUGAAACGAAACAAAGGGAUGAAGGAAGAUGAACCGUCUACGGAAGAGGAAAAGCUUCUUCAGUUGAGGUUGGAUACGGUAGAAAAUGAAGUGGAUGAGAUGGUGGAAGAGCAGUUGUCUGAAUUGAUGAUGAAAAAAAGGAAAAGGAUGAAGGAAGAAGAAUUGUCUAAAUUUGAGUUUGUAAAAAUGGAGGAGGAAAAGCUUCCUCAAUUGAGGUUGGAGGGCAUAGAAAAUAAAGUGGAUAGGACGGAGGAAGAACAAUCGUUUAACUUAGAGUUGAAACAGCAGAAAUGGAUGGAGGAAGUCCAAUCGUUUAAAUUGGAGUUGAAACAGGAGAAAUGGAGGGAGGAAGUCCAAUCAUUUAAAUUGGAGUUGAAACAAAAGAAAUGGAUGGAGGAAGUCCAAUCGUUUAAAUUGGAGUUGAAACAGGAGAAAUGGAGGGAGGAAGUCCAAUCAUUUAAAUUGGAGUUGAAACAAA
RNAcentral lists this unclassified non-coding RNA (659 nucleotides) under Hevea brasiliensis (rubber tree). Lineage: Eukaryota; Viridiplantae; Streptophyta; Magnoliopsida; Malpighiales; Euphorbiaceae. The record is from RNAcentral.